CUUUUCUUAAUACAGACUCCCAGGUGUCAGUUGCUGCCUGGAGUCCCUUUUCUUUCCUCUAUUGUUCUCUUAAUUGUUACUUCAAAACAAUUAGCUGGGCAUUCAUAUGCAAAUCAAUGCAAAUGUACAGGGGAUUGGGUGUGAGAGAAUACCACCACUCGUUAAUUUCCACUUCAAGGUCUGCUGGUAGAAACAACAAAAUUGCUUAACAAUGUACUUUUCCUGGGCCGUAAAGGGUGAACUCGCUACGAUUUCAGCCAUCCUGCUGGCUCGGCAAUUGUUGAGAUUCAGCCGGUUUUUGCAUGCCAUAGGGUCUACUAGCAAGUCCAGGUGCUGCUAAAAGAUAGUAUGAGAGCUGCAGGCUGGGGGCUUUUACCAUUCUGGGCUUUAGCAGCUGAAGCUGCCACCUUCUCCCCAUGGACAGAGCCAGAGUAUUCUCAGGUGAUGUUUUCUUCUCAUCCAAAUGGUUUCCCAUGGGUAAUUCAUGCAAAACCAGAAUCCAGCUGCUGGACUAUUUCCCCAUUUCAGGCAAAACUCUGAUAAUCCACAGUACUAUAGCUUUCAUGUGCUGGGGCACCAUGCCAGUGUUGCAACUGCUGCAGAAGGCCAGUUAAUAUAUUUACUCGUAUGUAUCUCCAGUCUGGUUUUCCAUAUGCAGUAAAGAGAAGCAUGCAGCCUUUUUCUGAAAUGUCAUGAAAGAUUACAGUGUAGGAGGUUUCAUGAAGCAUGAUACAAGGAUCUUGGCUGGAUAUAGACUCAUAUAACAUUUUUAUUAGAGAUGUGGGAGUGGAAAGGUAUCAUGCUGAUUGAAUUCACAGGUGUUAUUAAGUUAGGAGACAUGAUGCGUACUAGUACAGACAAUUAUGUAACGGAGAGGUUAACAAGUAGUGAAAUAAGGCUCAACUUAGGCAAAGGUUAUGUGGGAUAAGCCUUACUAAAAACCCUUGUUAAGGUCAAAUUCAUCACAUGCCUUUAAAUGUUUUUAAGGAACGAUGUUUAAAUUUGUUGUUUUAGACACCUGACAUCUUUAGGAAAUCAUUCAACUCAACUGCUGACUUCUAUCACUGCAGAUUCUUUUUGAAGUUUGUGCUGUGAAGACUUGGUGUAGAGUGUAAGAGUUUCCGUGCCAGCCAGCUUCUUUCCCUUUAGUCUCAUUUCAAAGUCACAUUGAUGAGAACAAACAAAAUUUCUCAAGCAAGAACAAUUGAAAACAAGCUAAUGAGAGAGUUUUCUGUUAGUCAAAUUGGCUGCUUCCUUACAGGGAUGUAGCUGCUUCCGUGAAAUAGACUCUUUAGAAUCCACUACUAGAUGUUAUUUCUUUGAUAAUUGUCUUUAUGUGAAC
RNAcentral lists this long non-coding RNA (1342 nucleotides) under Coturnix japonica (Japanese quail). RNAcentral's name for it is "lncRNA (ENSCJPG00005018382.1)". Lineage: Eukaryota; Metazoa; Chordata; Aves; Galliformes; Phasianidae. The record is from RNAcentral.